This 436-nucleotide ribosomal RNA is filed under the name uncultured bacterium. RNAcentral's name for it is "bacterial SSU rRNA". It matches the Rfam family "Bacterial small subunit ribosomal RNA", at positions 43 to 524 of the family's 1533-position model. The record is from RNAcentral.
CAGGCCUAACACAUGCAAGUCGAACGAUGCUUUCGGGCAUAGUGGCGCACGGGUGCGUAACGCGUGGGAAUCUGCCCUUGGGUUCGGAAUAACAGUUGGAAACGACUGCUAAUACCGGAUGAUGUCGAUAAGACCAAAGAUUUAUCGCCCGAGGAUGAGCCCGCGUUGGAUUAGCUAGUUGGUGGGGUAAAGGCCUACCAAGGCGACGAUCCAUAGCUGGUCUGAGAGGAUGAUCAGCCACACUGGGACUGAGACACGGCCCAGACUCCUACGGGAGGCAGCAGUGGGGAAUAUUGGACAAUGGGCGAAAGCCUGAUCCAGCAAUGCCGCGUGAGUGAUGAAGGCCUUAGGGUUGUAAAGCUCUUUUACCCGGGAUGAUAAUGACAGUACCGGGAGAAUAAGCUCCGGCUAACUCCGUGCCAGCAGCCGCGGUAAU